This 656-nucleotide ribosomal RNA is filed under the name uncultured bacterium. RNAcentral describes it as "bacterial SSU rRNA". It matches the Rfam family "Bacterial small subunit ribosomal RNA", at positions 153 to 796 of the family's 1533-position model. The record is from RNAcentral.
GAAACAGGUGCUAAUACCGCAUAACCAUAGUUACCGCAUGGUAACUAUGUAAAAGGUGGCUAUGCUACCGCUUUUGGAUGGGCCCGCGACGCAUUAGCUAGUUGGUGGGGUAAAGGCUUACCAAGGCAAUGAUGCGUAGCCGAACUGAGAGGUUGAUCGGCCACAUUGGGACUGAGACACGGCCCAAACUCCUACGGGAGGCAGCAGUAGGGAAUCUUCCACAAUGGGCGAAAGCCUGAUGGAGCAACGCCGCGUGGGUGAAGAAGGUCUUCGGAUCGUAAAACCCUGUUGUUAGAGAAGAAAGUGCGUGAGAGUAACUGUUCACGUUUCGACGGUAUCUAACCAGAAAGCCACGGCUAACUACGUGCCAGCAGCCGCGGUAAUACGUAGGUGGCAAGCGUUAUCCGGAUUUAUUGGGCGUAAAGAGAACGCAGGCGGUCUUUUAAGUCUGAUGUGAAAGCCUUCGGCUUAACCGGAGUAGUGCAUUGGAAACUGGGAGACUUGAGUGCAGAAGAGGAGAGUGGAACUCCAUGUGUAGCGGUGAAAUGCGUAGAUAUAUGGAAGAACACCAGUGGCGAAAGCGGCUCUCUGGUCUGUAACUGACGCUGAGGUUCGAAAGCGUGGGUAGCAAACAGGAUUAGAUACCCUGGUAGUCC